CAAAAAAAGCGAGAAAUCCCCUAAUUAGAACACGAUAUAUGCAUACAGUAACUACAGUAACUACAAUAAUACAGUGUUAUCCUAGGGUAUGUAAGUCCCUCUAAUGUACCUACCCUGUAUAGUGAACCACUGCUAAAUAUACCACUAACAACAGACCCUACAGUAUAAUAUUUCCAAGUCCAGCAUGUCACGUAUCUAGCUGAGAGAAGCAAAAAGAAUUAAGAAAUCCGUGUUAUAUGAUAAUAACGAUAAUAACAACCCCUUUUCAAAUUGUAAAUUAAAAUAAAAAAAGAAUCAUAAUAAAGAGACAUAGAUCCCCUUCCUAAACAUAUAUUAAAAUGAGAGGUUAUAUUCCCUAUAACAAUGUAUAUAGUUUGUGAGUGAUCAGGAGUUGGGCAUAAGUUUUUUAGCACUACGGGUGGUAUUGUUAAUGAUUUUGCUUAUGGUGAUGACAUGAUUGUGGCUUUGAAGUGAUGGUGAUGAUGAAGUGAUGGUGAAGUGACAGCAGAGGAAGUGAAAUCGUUUUUGAGAUGAAGUGAAGAAGUGAAGUCGUUCUGAGAUGAAAUGAAAUUGUUUUUGAGAUGAAGUGAAGAAGUGAAGUCGCUCUGAGAUGAAAUUGUUUUUGAGAUGAAAUGAGGAAGUGAAGUCGUUCUGAGAUGAAAUAAAUUGUUUUUGAGAUGAAGUGUAAAGAAGUGAAGUCGUAUUGAGAUGAAGUGAAAUCGUUUCGAGAUGAAGUGAAGGCAAUGAUGAGUUUUGAAUUCUUUUAAAGCAAAGAAAACAAAAUGAUGAUGUUGAUGAAACCAAGAAU
Non-coding RNA from Penaeus vannamei (Pacific white shrimp), 808 nucleotides. The record is from RefSeq and is a predicted model, not a curated record. Lineage: Eukaryota; Metazoa; Arthropoda; Malacostraca; Decapoda; Penaeidae.